CAACCCUCAAGCCCCAGCGGCCUGGUGUUGGGGGACGGCCGCCUCCACAGCGGAGCGGCCGCCCCCGAAAUGAAUUGGCGGCCUCGGCGCCGCCUCCCCCUGCGUAGUAGCGACAGCAGUCUCGCACCGGGAGCGCGCCGCGGCCACUGCCGUAAAACGCCCAACUUUUUCAACG
Molecule: unclassified non-coding RNA, 175 nt
Filed under: uncultured Sordariomycetes
Lineage: Eukaryota; Fungi; Ascomycota; Sordariomycetes
Description: sequence contains ITS2
Source: RNAcentral